Molecule: unclassified non-coding RNA, 319 nt
Filed under: fungal sp.
Lineage: Eukaryota; Fungi
Description: partial internal transcribed spacer region
Rfam family: Eukaryotic small subunit ribosomal RNA (bases 1-46)
Source: RNAcentral
AAGUCGUAACAAGGUUUCCGUAGGUGAACCUGCGGAAGGAUCAUUACCAUAUCCAAAAACUAUACCAACCCACCGUGUGAACUGUUGUUGUUUUCCUACACUUGGGGUGACUUGGCGUGCUCAGUGGCCGAUUUUAUUGGUCGCUGGUUGUUGUGAAGCCCCACCUGUAUGAACCUUUUCCAUGAACCCCUGGUCAAACCAACCCUUUAAAAGUCUGAUCUUUUUUCUUUUGCUCUGUCUUCCCUGGUGGAAGCGGCGUAAAAAAAAAACCAAAACACAAACCAAUAGACAACUUAUGACGGUGGAUCUCUUGGCUCGU